This 492-nucleotide ribosomal RNA is filed under the name uncultured bacterium. Its description in RNAcentral is "partial 16S ribosomal RNA". It matches the Rfam family "Bacterial small subunit ribosomal RNA", at positions 29 to 507 of the family's 1533-position model. The record is from RNAcentral.
AGUGAACGCUGGCGGUAGGCCUAACACAUGCAAGUCGAACGGCAGCACAGUAAGGGCUUGCUCUUACGGGUGGCGAGUGGCGGACGGGUGAGGAAUACAUCGGAAUCUACUUUUUCGUGGGGGAUAACGUAGGGAAACUUACGCUAAUACCGCAUACGACCUACGGGUGAAAGCAGGGGAUCUUCGGACCUUGCGCGAUCGAAUGAGCCGAUGUCGGAUUAGCUAGUUGGCGGGGUAAAGGCCCACCAAGGCGACGAUCCGUAGCUGGUCUGAGAGGAUGAUCAGCCACACUGGAACUGAGACACGGUCCAGACUCCUACGGGAGGCAGCAGUGGGGAAUAUUGGACAAAGGGCGCAAGCCUGAUCCAGCCAUACCGCGUGGGUGAAGAAGGCCUUCGGGUUGUAAAGCCCUUUUGUUGGGAAAGAAAAGCAGCAGGUUAAUACCCCGCUGUUCUGACGGUACCCAAAGAAUAAGCACCGGCUAACUUCGUG